Molecule: long non-coding RNA, 322 nt
Filed under: Mytilus galloprovincialis (Mediterranean mussel)
Lineage: Eukaryota; Metazoa; Mollusca; Bivalvia; Mytilida; Mytilidae
Source: RNAcentral
GGGCAGAAUCAAUUUGCGCCAAUUGCAGUUUUGAAAAGGUAUUAAUUGCGCCACUCUCUUUAAUUUUGAUGGUAUUAAUUGCGCCAAUAAAUGAAAUGAAAUUGCGCCACAUUUACCUGUUAAUAUUUUUUACCUAUAUCAUACCUGUGCAUGUUUUACCUAUAUCAAGACAAGACAAGACAAGACAAAUACAAGACAAGACAAGACAAGACAAAUACUUUAUUAAAGUCUCACCACUUGUUACAUAUGAAAUAUACAGCUUUUUAAAACACAAGUUAACAACAAGAGCCACUGUAUAAAUAGUUUUGAGAGACUAUAAAAC